GAAAGUAUUCUGCAACAAGAUAAAGCUGGCGAUGAACUGAUCGCAGAAUGCGAACAUUUACUGAAACCUGUUCUGUCUAAGACUGACGACACCGGAAAAGAGUUUUUACAAAAUGAAAUAAACAGUCAGAAAAAGAACUGGCGCGAAUUUCUCGAUAAAUGUAAACAGACCAAAGAAAAACUGAUUAUCAAGAAAGGUCAAGCUGAAAAGCUUCAGAGUAAAAUUACAUCGUUGGACGAGUUUUUGAAAAACUCCGAAAAUAAAUUCAAAGAUCAAAGCUUGAAAAAUUGAUUGGAGUCGAAGAAACUUUAUUUGGACGAUGUAAAAAGUACCUUCCAACGAUUUAAAUAAUAAAAAUAUCGAAUUCGAAGAUCUUAAAAAAGAACCCGGUGCAACGAAUCCUGAGCUUACCGAAAUAGUCAUGAAAUUAAUAGCGAGAUAUCAAAACGUCAAACAGAAAGCAAAGGAAUGUGUUACCAGAUAUGAGAAAUUCGUCAAGGAACAUGAAACUUUUGAAAACGAUUAUAACAACUUUUUACAGAAAUGUAAUAAACUAAAAGAAGAAGUUGAACAAAACAGUAAACCGAUCGGAAAUGUCAGUUCAUUAAAGGAAAGGCAGAAAAAACUGAACGAAUUGCUGGAUUCAAAAACGAAUGAAAACAUACACAAUUCGAAUUGAUCAACGAACAAGGGGAGAAGCUAUAU
Planococcus citri (citrus mealybug) is the source of this 705-nucleotide long non-coding RNA. RefSeq lists it as uncharacterized. The record is from RefSeq and is a predicted model, not a curated record. Lineage: Eukaryota; Metazoa; Arthropoda; Insecta; Hemiptera; Pseudococcidae. The transcript is spliced from 3 exons.